AAGGCUGAGAAGAAGCUAAUCCAGCCAGCCCCGGAGGAAGUGUAGGCAGGAGACCAAAAUGGUGAGAUGGAUAAGGGUUUUUUGUUUGUUUGUUUUUAAUCAGAUCAUAGAUGGCACUAGUCUGGCUGACAUGGCAAUGUUCCAGCAUGGUAAUUGGAGAUAGGGGGUUGUUACCUGAUCUUUACCUGGAUUCCUUCAUCUUACCAAGUACCUUCAGGUUGGAGGAGGAAGCAGGACUCCAGAAAAGAUGUGACUUGUUGAAUAGCACUUCAGAAAAUCUCCAAGACAAAAUCUUACUACCUAGGAAUCUCAUCAAGAUGAUUAAGGAGUUCCCUGCUGAAUCAGCAUGACUGAAUGGCAUGCCUAAAUGACUUUGUAAUAUUAGAUUGCACCAAGCUGGGGAAGAUUGGCAAGAGCCUGACAUAGUCUCAUCAUCAGGUUCAGAAAGCUUCUUUUUAUAUUCUGAUCUGCUUUAUCCUUUUGCAUAGCAUCAAAAUAAUUUGAUUUAAGGGCCAGAUUCAACCCAGAGUCAAGUUGUCUAUGUAUCUGAUCCAUCCAUCCAUAGGCCCAAUGGAACCAUUUUUAAUGGGUUGUCUGGAAAACUCGUCUAUCCAAGUCCCUUCUUGUUUCAACUCUCACCCCUACCUGGCUUCAGCAGGGCAUAUACUCCCAGUUGUCUAAAGUUUUAUGGUUUGUUGGUUUGUUUUCCCCUUUUUUUACUUAAAAUGGGAAGGAUAGUGAGACUUGCAAGGGGAAUUCAGACCAAUAGAAUAAAGUUUCUCUGCUUGAAGUUUUCCA
RNAcentral lists this long non-coding RNA (798 nucleotides) under Monodelphis domestica (gray short-tailed opossum). Its description in RNAcentral is "lncRNA (ENSMODG00000038038.1)". Lineage: Eukaryota; Metazoa; Chordata; Mammalia; Didelphimorphia; Didelphidae. The record is from RNAcentral.